GGUUAAGCGACUAAGCGUACACGGUGGAUGCCCUGGCAGUCAGAGGCGAUGAAGGACGUGCUAAUCUGCGAUAAGCGUCGGUAAGGUGAUAUGAACCGUUAUAACCGGCGAUUUCCGAAUGGGGAAACCCAGUGUGAUUCGUCACACUAUCAUUAACUGAAUCCAUAGGUUAAUGAGGCGAACCGGGGGAACUGAAACAUCUAAGUACCCCGAGGAAAAGAAAUCAACCGAGAUUCCCCCAGUAGCGGCGAGCGAACGGGGAGCAGCCCAGAGCCUGAAUCAGUGUGUGUGUUAGUGGAAGCGUCUGGAAAGGCGCGCGAUACAGGGUGACAGCCCCGUACACAAAAAUGCACAUGCUGUGAGCUCGAUGAGUAGGGCGGGACACGUGGUAUCCUGUCUGAAUAUGGGGGGACCAUCCUCCAAGGCUAAAUACUCCUGACUGACCGAUAGUGAACCAGUACCGUGAGGGAAAGGCGAAAAGAACCCCGGCGAGGGGAGUGAAAAAGAACCUGAAACCGUGUACGUACAAGCAGUGGGAGCACAGAGCAAUCUGUGUGACUGCGUACCUUUUGUAUAAUGGGUCAGCGACUUAUAUUCUGUAGCAAGGUUAACCGAAUAGGGGAGCCGAAGGGAAACCGAGUCUUAACUGGGCGUUAAGUUGCAGGGUAUAGACCCGAAACCCGGUGAUCUAGCCAUGGGCAGGUUGAAGGUUGGGUAACACUAACUGGAGGACCGAACCGACUAAUGUUGAAAAAUUAGCGGAUGACUUGUGGCUGGGGGUGAAAGGCCAAUCAAACCGGGAGAUAGCUGGUUCUCCCCGAAAGCUAUUUAGGUAGCGCCUCGUGAAUUCAUCUCCGGGGGUAGAGCACUGUUUCGGCAAGGGGGUCAUCCCGACUUACCAACCCGAUGCAAACUGCGAAUACCGGAGAAUGUUAUCACGGGAGACACACGGCGGGUGCUAACGUCCGUCGUGAAGAGGGAAACAACCCAGACCGCCAGCUAAGGUCCCAAAGUCAUGGUUAAGUGGGAAACGAUGUGGGAAGGCCCAGACAGCCAGGAUGUUGGCUUAGAAGCAGCCAUCAUUUAAAGAAAGCGUAAUAGCUCACUGGUCGAGUCGGCCUGCGCGGAAGAUGUAACGGGGCUAAACCAUGCACCGAAGCUGCGGCAGCGACGCUUAUGCGUUGUUGGGUAGGGGAGCGUUCUGUAAGCCUGUGAAGGUGUACUGUGAGGUAUGCUGGAGGUAUCAGAAGUGCGAAUGCUGACAUAAGUAACGAUAAAGCGGGUGAAAAGCCCGCUCGCCGGAAGACCAAGGGUUCCUGUCCAACGUUAAUCGGGGCAGGGUGAGUCGACCCCUAAGGCGAGGCCGAAAGGCGUAGUCGAUGGGAAACAGGUUAAUAUUCCUGUACUUGGUGUUACUGCGAAGGGGGGACGGAGAAGGCUAUGUUGGCCGGGCGACGGUUGUCCCGGUUUAAGCGUGUAGGCUGGUUUUCCAGGCAAAUCCGGAAAAUCAAGGCUGAGGCGUGAUGACGAGGCACUACGGUGCUGAAGCAACAAAUGCCCUGCUUCCAGGAAAAGCCUCUAAGCAUCAGGUAACAUCAAAUCGUACCCCAAACCGACACAGGUGGUCAGGUAGAGAAUACCAAGGCGCUUGAGAGAACUCGGGUGAAGGAACUAGGCAAAAUGGUGCCGUAACUUCGGGAGAAGGCACGCUGAUAUGUAGGUGAAGUCCCUCGCGGAUGGAGCUGAAAUCAGUCGAAGAUACCAGCUGGCUGCAACUGUUUAUUAAAAACACAGCACUGUGCAAACACGAAAGUGGACGUAUACGGUGUGACGCCUGCCCGGUGCCGGAAGGUUAAUUGAUGGGGUCAGCGCAAGCGAAGCUCUUGAUCGAAGCCCCGGUAAACGGCGGCCGUAACUAUAACGGUCCUAAGGUAGCGAAAUUCCUUGUCGGGUAAGUUCCGACCUGCACGAAUGGCGUAAUGAUGGCCAGGCUGUCUCCACCCGAGACUCAGUGAAAUUGAACUCGCUGUGAAGAUGCAGUGUACCCGCGGCAAGACGGAAAGACCCCGUGAACCUUUACUAUAGCUUGACACUGAACAUUGAGCCUUGAUGUGUAGGAUAGGUGGGAGGCUUUGAAGUGUGGACGCCAGUCUGCAUGGAGCCGACCUUGAAAUACCACCCUUUAAUGUUUGAUGUUCUAACGUGGACCCGUAAUCCGGGUUGCGGACAGUGUCUGGUGGGUAGUUUGACUGGGGCGGUCUCCUCCUAAAGAGUAACGGAGGAGCACGAAGGUUGGCUAAUCCUGGUCGGACAUCAGGAGGUUAGUGCAAUGGCAUAAGCCAGCUUGACUGCGAGCGUGACGGCGCGAGCAGGUGCGAAAGCAGGUCAUAGUGAUCCGGUGGUUCUGAAUGGAAGGGCCAUCGCUCAACGGAUAAAAGGUACUCCGGGGAUAACAGGCUGAUACCGCCCAAGAGUUCAUAUCGACGGCGGUGUUUGGCACCUCGAUGUCGGCUCAUCACAUCCUGGGGCUGAAGUAGGUCCCAAGGGUAUGGCUGUUCGCCAUUUAAAGUGGUACGCGAGCUGGGUUUAGAACGUCGUGAGACAGUUCGGUCCCUAUCUGCCGUGGGCGCUGGAGAACUGAGGGGGGCUGCUCCUAGUACGAGAGGACCGGAGUGGACGCAUCACUGGUGUUCGGGUUGUCAUGCCAAUGGCACUGCCCGGUAGCUAAAUGCGGAAGAGAUAAGUGCUGAAAGCAUCUAAGCACGAAACUUGCCCCGAGAUGAGUUCUCCCUGACUCCUUGAGAGUCCUGAAGGAACGUUGAAGACGACGACGUUGAUAGGCCGGGUGUGUAAGCGCAGCGAUGCGUUGAGCUAACCGGUACUAAUGAACCGUGAGGCUUAACCUU
This 2906-nucleotide ribosomal RNA is filed under the name Escherichia coli. RNAcentral describes it as "23S ribosomal RNA". It matches the Rfam family "Bacterial large subunit ribosomal RNA". RNAcentral also lists the same sequence under 1 other name. The record is from RNAcentral. Lineage: Bacteria; Pseudomonadati; Pseudomonadota; Gammaproteobacteria; Enterobacterales; Enterobacteriaceae.